UUUGCUGACGAGUGGCGGACGGGUGAGUAAUGUCUGGGAAACUGCCUGAUGGAGGGGGAUAACUACUGGAAACGGUAGCUAAUACCGCAUAACGUCGCAAGACCAAAGAGGGGGACCUUCGGGCCUCUUGCCAUCGGAUGUGCCCAGAUGGGAUUAGCUAGUAGGUGGGGUAAAGGCUCACCUAGGCGACGAUCCCUAGCUGGUCUGAGAGGAUGACCAGCCACACUGGAACUGAGACACGGUCCAGACUCCUACGGGAGGCAGCAGUGGGGAAUAUUGCACAAUGGGCGCAAGCCUGAUGCAGCCAUGCCGCGUGUAUGAAGAAGGCCUUCGGGUUGUAAAGUACUUUCAGCGGGGAGGAAGGGAGUAAAGUUAAUACCUUUGCUCAUUGACGUUACCCGCAGAAGAAGCACCGGCUAACUCCGUGCCAGCAGCCGCGGUAAUACGGAGGGUGCAAGCGUUAAUCGGAAUUACUGGGCGUAAAGCGCACGCAGGCGGUUUGUUAAGUCAGAUGUGAAAU
RNAcentral lists this ribosomal RNA (520 nucleotides) under Escherichia coli. RNAcentral's name for it is "bacterial SSU rRNA". It matches the Rfam family "Bacterial small subunit ribosomal RNA", at positions 84 to 600 of the family's 1533-position model. Lineage: Bacteria; Pseudomonadati; Pseudomonadota; Gammaproteobacteria; Enterobacterales; Enterobacteriaceae. The record is from RNAcentral.